Molecule: long non-coding RNA, 902 nt
Filed under: Homo sapiens (human)
Lineage: Eukaryota; Metazoa; Chordata; Mammalia; Primates; Hominidae
Description: non-protein coding LINC02395:22
Source: RNAcentral
CUGACCUCGUGAUCUACCCGCCUCAGCCUCCGAAAGUGCUGGGAUUAGAGGUGUGAGCCACCGUACCCAGCUGAGUUUCCAAAUAUUUCUGAUUUCACCAGCGGGGGAAGACUGGCAGGCUCCUAUAUCCUCGAAGUAUCCUGCCAUGAGAUGCCUGCAGAGUGGGGAAUGGCAUCACCUUUCCAACCCUGUGCAGCACCCAGUGCGAGCUGCUUAUUAGUGGGAACUGGAGAGGAAGAGGAGGAAAAGGAGGACCCAUGGCCAUGGCUUUUUCUGUCCUUGUAACCCUCAACUGAUAUGUAUCCCAUACUUCUUGGUUGGGCAGAGGGGAGAGCAGAGGUUGACAGGUCACAUUUCCCUCAGUUUUCCAUCCUUCCUUCAGUGCUGGGAGAGAAAAGCAUACGACAUAGACAGGGAGGUCAAGCUCCACCACGCAGAUGAGGUGCAGGCCACCAGUCUUCCUCUGCCACAUCUCUUUCUGAAAAGGACUUCACAUUCACCCUUGCAAUCCAUGUGGGGACACUGUUGGAUAGGAGGCGUGGUCCCAGCGUGGUCUCCCUGUCUGGGCCUCUGCCUAUGCCAAAUGUUUGCCUUACGCUGCACACUCAAGAGGUUCCAUGUAUACAGAUGGGAAUUCCAGAGCUACAGAAAAGGCAGCAAGCACCAUGAUUUAAGCUAACCAGUGUGGAUUCACACCUUCCUCUCUCUCUAUCAGUGGCAGAACUACCAGCUAGAGUAAGAAGUGGUUGAUCCAGGACCUAAACAUUCUGGAAACUCUUGCCCACUUCUGGGAGAAAUGACCCAAUCCAUAGUACUAAGCACACCUUAACUUUCGUAGGACGCAGGCAAGUUGUCAUACCGUGUGCCUAAAUAUAGAAAAAUGAUCCACUGGACUAAUAAAG